This is a non-coding RNA of Pelobates cultripes (western spadefoot toad), 515 nucleotides long. NCBI's taxonomy places the organism in Eukaryota, Metazoa, Chordata, Amphibia, Anura, Pelobatidae. The record is from the annotation of a GenBank genome assembly.
GUUCUGAUCAGCCACAACAUUAAAACACACCGUCAGGUUAAGCAAAUAGCAUUGAUUAUAUUGUUACAAUGUUAUCUGUCAAGGGGUGGGAUAUAUUAGGCAGCAAGUGAACGGUCAGUUUUUGAAUUUCAUGUGGUGGAAGCAGAAAAAAAUAGGCAAGCGAAAAGAUCGGAAGGACAAGGGCCAAAUAGUUAUAUAGUGAUGGGUAGAUGACUGGGUCAGAGCAUCUCCAAAAUGACAAGUCUUAUGGGGUGUUCCCAGUAUGCAGUUGUAAAUACAUACUAAAAGUGGUGCAAGGAAGGAUAACCAGUGUCCGGUUAAUGCACCCAAAGCUCAUUGAUGCACGUGGGGAGCGAACGCUAGCUCGUCUGGUCUGAUCACACAGAAGAACUACUGUAGCUCAAAUUGCUGAACAACUUAAUGAUGGCCAUGGUAGAAAGGAGUCAGAACACACAGUGUAUUGCAGUUUGCAGUGUAUGGGGCUGCAUAGCCACAGACCAGCCAGAGAGUCCAUG